GGGGUACAAAAAUAUAUACAUUCCGUUAAUAUGUUAAGUGUACAAAUCACAUUUUAAACAGACCUAUAUUAUGGUAGGUAUUUCGAAUACAUGGAUUUGUCAAAUCAAAUCCUGGCAAUAUCAUUGGAUCAGAAUCAAUAAAUAUUGGUAAAGACCAACUGCCAAAACCAACCAAUUUCUUCAGGUAAACAGUGUUUUGAGGAGGUACCAUUUAAUAAUGUACAUAUAUUGUAAUAUACUGAUAUACUGAUACAUAGACUGUUCUAUGCAGUCUCGACGUGAGCCGAGCACGCGACCAAGAUUACCAAAUGCUAUAACUCGCUAAUCAGGGUGCAGUCCUUAAGUUACCUGAGCGUACCGCACCGUAUCAACUGUCGUCGUCUCGCUACUAACAUGUACACUUCCAGGGAAUCUCCUUGCCCUAAAGAGGAAAAAAAAUCAGCUCAAAGAUCGAAGAUCCGGACAAGAGCAAGUCCUCAUCCAAGAUCCUAUGCACGGAGCUCAACAUUGUCAUCAACGCGUGGUCCAACAGGUGGAACCGCACGACCAAGGCGGCUUUGAACUCGCAGGGUUCUCCCAGAUCUGAGGAAAUAGGUAUCGAGACACUCUAAGGACCUCACUUUUCACGUCACGCAGGUCCUUACAGGUCACGGGUGCUUCAGGCACUAUCUCUUACGGAUGGAACGAGCCCCAGACGCGGAGUGCCUAUACUGCCGACACUCAUUCGGAAGACACCCUCGAGCACACGCUAAUCGUAUGCCCUCACUGGGAACACCGGCAGAGCGUAUAUUGGCGGAUGAAACAGCUUUCAGCGACGUCCAAAACUUGUUCUGCAGCCCCGAAGAUACAUUUCAUCCGGAGUUUUAUACAAUCAGAUCGAGGCAGCCUUCUUUUGCGGCUUACAGUCUUACCGCAUAGAGGGCAUAAUGAGCAGUAAGGAGCGAGACGAGAGUAUAAAUAAAACUGAGGCAAGGGCUGACCAGCUGCCUCAUUAGUCCUGGGCAACAAAGUCUGCACCUAGCCACUGGCUCAAGGUCAAGUACAGGUUAAAUUAAGUUAGCAAUUAGCAUAAUGUUAGAAGGUGACGCGAUUCUACUACUCACCUCUCACCAUAGUUUUAAUUAACAUAGUUAACAAUGUGAGCCUGAUCCGCAAAAGGGAAAACAGGAUUUUAUAAAACAUUACUUAAUUGUGCUUAUUAAUAAACGAUAGCAGUGGUGAGGUAGCAAUGUGAAAACUUAUCUCCCACUGCUGUUGGUAAAUUGAAAAAAAAAAAUAAACAUAUUCUAAAUUAAUUAAUCUAUUUUUAGAGCAUUGAAACAUCCUAUUGAUUAAACAUUGUGUGGAGUGUUAAACAGAUCGGACAGGUUUUGUGAAUUUGGUGGCAUAUUAGCCAUAUUCUGUUUUCCAUUUAUAGUACUUACCCAUAGAUAAAUGUGCGACAUAUAACAAAAUUUAAAAUAAACAUAAGUUGUGAAAUGUUUUACAAGUACGUUUUAAACUUGUAGAUUAUUUAUAUAUAGAUACUAGUUAGGUGUUUUUUGAGUUUCAAAGAAAUGCGACUGUUACAAUCUGUUCUGAGUUGUAUCGUGAACUGAGUUUCUGUUAUGGUUAUGUGACUUAACAUGAACUAAAUAUCUACUUAAUACUACUUACCAGUUAUUAAAGUAUCUAUUGAUUUUCUGUACGAUUAAAUCAUAGUAAAUAAAAUAUUAAUAUCACCUAAUUUUUAAAACAAC
Cinara cedri is the source of this 1739-nucleotide non-coding RNA. The record is from the annotation of a GenBank genome assembly. NCBI's taxonomy places the organism in Eukaryota, Metazoa, Arthropoda, Insecta, Hemiptera, Aphididae.